RNAcentral lists this ribosomal RNA (681 nucleotides) under uncultured bacterium. RNAcentral's name for it is "bacterial SSU rRNA". It matches the Rfam family "Bacterial small subunit ribosomal RNA", at positions 8 to 691 of the family's 1533-position model. The record is from RNAcentral.
AGAGUUUGAUCCUGGCUCAGAGCGAACGCUGGCGGCGUGCUUAACACAUGCAAGUCGAGUGCGCGUCUGUAGCAAUACAGAUGGCGCACGGCGCACGGGUGCGUAACACGUGGGUAAUCUGCCCUUCGAUGGGGAAUAACCUCGCGAAAGCGAGGCUAAUUCCGCAUAACAUUCCGAUGAUCUUGGUCAAUGGAUUCAAAGCCGUAAGGCGUCGGAGGAGGAGCCCGCGCACGAUUAGCUAGUUGGUGAGGUAACGGCUCACCAAGGCUAUGAUCGUUAGCUGGUCUGAGAGGAUGGCCAGCCACACUGGAACUGAGACACGGUCCAGACUCCUACGGGAGGCAGCAGUGGGGAAUCUUGCACAAUGGGCGAAAGCCUGAUGCAGCGACGCCGCGUGGGGGAUGAAGCUUCUCGGAGUGUAAACCCCUUUCGACCCGGACGAAUGCCUCGCAAGAGGACUGACGGUACGGGUAUAAGAAGCCCCGGCUAACUACGUGCCAGCAGCCGCGGUAAGACGUAGGGGGCCAGCGUUGCUCGGAAUUACUGGGUGUAAAGGGUUCGUAGGCGGUGUGGCAAGUCGGGAGUGAAAUCUCUGGGCUCAACCCAGANGCUGCUUCCGAAACUGCCGUGCUUGGGUGUGGGAGAGGCGCGUGGAAUUGCAGGUGUAGCGGUGAAAUGCGU